Aegilops tauschii subsp. strangulata is the source of this 3782-nucleotide non-coding RNA. NCBI's taxonomy places the organism in Eukaryota, Viridiplantae, Streptophyta, Magnoliopsida, Poales, Poaceae. The record is from RefSeq and is a predicted model, not a curated record.
AACCCUACGAUCGAUGCCUCGUGCCCACAGCAGAUCGUUCUCCGCCGCCAACCAGCCCUUCGCACGCCCGAUCCAUCCCUUCGCCCCCGCCGGACAUCCAUCCCUGUGCCGCGGCCGAUCCUAACCUUGGCCGUCGCCCACUCCCGUCGAUCCCAUCUAUCGUUGCCGCUGCAGCCGCCGCAAAAAAAAUCCAUCGACCCCUCCCAUCGAUCGUUGCCGCCGCCGCCGUCCGAGGGGCAGACGCCGCCGCCGCCGCCACCGUCCGAGGGGCAGACGCCGCCGCCGCCGCCACCGCCGCAGUACAAGGGGGAGACGCCGCCGCCGCCGCUGCAAGGCAUGGCGGUUUGAAUCCCGCCCCCGCCGCUGCAAGGCAUGCUCACCAAGAUGUUCGGCGAGGCCGGCGACUACGACGGCAUCCAGUUCGUCUUCAAGAAGAUGCGGGAGGUUGGCAUCAAGCCCUAAAUCUUCGUCUACAACGCUUUGCUCGAGGCGAUCGGCAAGACCGGCAAGUUGGGGCUGGCCCGCAGCCUGUUCGAGGAAAUGUCCGCCGAGGGGGUCGAGCCCAACGAGCGCACACCGCGGUGGCCAAGAUCUGUUGCCGGGCACGCUGGGGACGCGACGUGCUCCAGCUCUGGGACAAGAUGCGCGACAAGAAGAUCCCCGCUCACAACAUCCUCUGGAACACGCAUGUGCGCCGACGUGGGGCUGGUGGCUGAGGCCGAGCAGUUCUUCGAGGAGAUGAAGCUGGACAAGUGGAGCUACACAGCCAUCAUCAACAUCUAUGGGAGCAUCAAGGACGCCAACCGCGCACUCCAGUUGUUUGUGGAAAUGCUACAGAGCGGCAUAGAGGCCAACAUAAUGAGCUACACCAUCGUGAUCCAGUGCCUCGGCAAGGCGAACAGGAUACAUGACGCCGUUCUUUGUAACCGCAUCUGGGUCAUAGACGUACAUUCUCACGUGCACACGCGUCACUGCCUACCGCUACCUUCCUUGCCGGCGGUGGACGGCGCCGCGUUUCCGGAUUAGGGGGGACUGGCCGAACCGCGACCGCGCCUUCGCCACGGCUGAGGGGAGCGAAAGCCACACCGCCGCACUCCCGGCCACGGGCCACAACCUGCGGGUCUUCGUCCGUCAGGGCCUGGACGCUUCUACUACUCCACUCCUUGUGCGAACACAUCGACACAUAUUAGCGCCCGACUGUGCCACCAAGCUCAAAUCAGGGGCUGCAAGAUUCCAUCACGAGUCUUCGUGUGGUGGUCUUGGUCUUGGAUUGUAAAGCCCGGUUUGGGAUUUUGCUACAACUGCUCAUUCAGUGAGGAUUCUGAUCGAAGAUGAUCAGAAGGAAAAAGGACUUUGCCCAAGUAACUCCAGCUGGUUAUAUUGACACACUAUAUGAAUGUAACGCCAUACAGAGGCAUGUUUCAUGUGUGGCAGAGGACUAGAGGUAAUUAAAACUUCAUGUGAGGAAGCAAUCUACAAAGUCAAGUGGAGCAAUAGCGUCCAAGCAGUCUUGUUGCUAUGUUCUUGCUUUUGCUGUACACAAAGAGGCCGGGAUUGAGCAAGGGCGCUGGAGAUAUUGUGUCAAUAGUGGGCAUCUUGAUGCAGUUGCGCUUGUCGAGGUUGAGCUUGUUCCCACGCAUGACUUGUAGUUGUAAACUUAUGCAUUUGGGGCUAUUAAAGGGAGGCAAUUGACGUGCAUGUCAAGAGGAGUUAUUCUGUGGCAACCCACAGAGUCAUGUUUGAUCAUUAAAAGAAAUGGCCACGGAUCCCCACGGACGCCGCCACUGCCGCGGAUCCCCACAGAUGAUGCAGACGCCGCCGAACAGAGCAGGAUGUGGUCGUGUUGCACUGAUUGGAGGAGACCGUGCCGGCUGUGCGCUGUUUGGAGGACGAACACAGGUUCACCGCCAUGGCUAUGAGAGGACGCAUUUGUGUUCAGUUGUUCGGGCAGAGGAGGCACUUUGUUGAAGCAUCAAGUGAAUUGAAAUGUGCAAAUGCUCUUGGUGCCCAUUAGUUCUGUGUGUGAGUAAGAAAUCGUUUUCUUCUCCAUAGCUGAGAAACCAGUAAAGAAAUUAUGUGUCAGGAGCAAGAAUCUUUUUCGAUGAAAGCCGCUACCUUUCAUAGAUAAAUUGUGUUCCUUUUCAAGAAAGAAAUCCAUAGCCUUGAAUCAAUAGAUAUACAUAAGUUUUAUGUUGAUGUUAUCUACAAUAAGAGUACUUGAAAUUGAUAGAGUUGCCAUUAGAUUUUCCGAGAAGAGGCAGACAUUAUAUCACCUGUCCGUUUAAUCUUUCUCUGUUUAUUAUGUUGCUUCUCUUUUUUUGUCUUAUUCUUAUUCCAAUCAUUGCAUUAGGAUUCAUUGCCAAUUUAUUCGGUCCUUAUUUAAUUUGGAUGGUGCUGAACUAUUUUUGUGGUCCUUAUUUAAUUUGGAUGGUGCUGAACUAUUUUUGUGGUACCUGGUACCUUUCAUGAUCAAGAAGAGCUCACAUGUGACUAAAUAGACAUGGUGUAUUGUUUAAGCAUGCAUACUUGGCCUCUUUGGACUAUUAAUAGAAGCUUGUGUCCCCUUUGGACUAGGGAAGGUAUGUUAAAUUGUACCAACCAUGUCAUUAGACUGUAACAGAAGAAAAAAAUGUAUCAAAUUAUAUGUUUUUAUUUACUUCGAUCGGUAUGAAGGGCAGGUGACAUUCAUACUAAAAUUUUGGCUAUAAUCUAUUCAACCUGGUUGUAAAUCAUUGCAUGGUAAUGUUUCUAUGUGCAUAUUCUGGAUUGCUCUAUGCAAAUGCAUAAAACAGGGAAGGACCAUGCCGUGAGCUUAUUGAUAAAUCUGAGCAGCUAGCUAGGCUCUGUAGUAACAUCUUAACUGCCUGCUUAGAUUACUUAUCUGUUUGGUCAUUCCUUCUUUUUGCCUGCUUAGUAUAAACUGUAUGUUCUAUUCUGCAGCUCCUCCUGCUGCUAUAUUGACCUCUACUUGAAGUCGGGAGCCAAAUUGAAGAUCAAAUUCAGAUUGGAAGGUGAACUUCUGUUUUCUGCGAAGUUUAGAAUCUCGUUGUUUGCUAUGCCUGCCGGCUGCCGCUCAUGUACUGCACAUGCAGUGCUUUCAAAAGUGAGGCUAGGGCGCGGAGGUGAGGCCAAAUUGGCGUGUGAAUGUAAGGAUUGAAAUGAGAUAGUUAUCUUCUUUCAGUUGUUUGCUUCUGCUUAUUGAUAGAGAUAAUGAUUCCCUAUUUAGUAGAGAUGCUGUCACAUAUUAAUAUUGGGAAUUAUCUAUAGUUCAUUUGAUGUUCAUAUCUCCAUCCUAGCGACCGCUUUGUCCAUGGCGUUUUUAUCGCAUCCACCCAGGUCAGUAUGAAACAAGAACGCACAUCUAUGUUGUAUUUGCUUUAUAGUAAUACAGGUUUAGGUGGUCAGUCGCCCUAUGUUGUUUGCAUCAAAAACGUUCUUUGCAUGGUGCGCACGGCAGCAAUUCAUUGUUCGAAGCAGUGAAGCGAUGUAAAAAAUGUGCAUCGGCGGUUGUGAAUAGCAUCCGUCAUUUUUCGUAGUCCUCUUAGUUAUGUACCAGCGCAGAUGUUGUGUACCGAAAGUAGGAGCAAUCAAGUUGUUUUUUCUCUGACAAGGAGGCAAGCUGGCCUUGUUGUGCUAUGCUCAUCUCAAAUUGUAUGCUGAGUCUACUUAUUUUAGCUUAACGUAGGUUUUGGCAGCAAGAAACACUUGCAAAUGUAUGUCUUCUGGAUAUAAGUAUCUGCUCUAGAAGAUAUAUAUAGAUAGCCAUCACAAUAACUGGGGAU